UACAGAGGUCCCAAGCGUUGUUCGGAUUUAUUGGGCGUAAAGGGUGCGUAGGCGGCAGUGUAAGUUGGACGUGAAAUCCUGGGGCUCAACCUCAGAAUUGCGUUCAAUACUGCAUUGCUAGGGCGCUGUAGAGGAGAUUGGAAUUUACGGUGUAGCAGUGAAAUGCGUAGAUAUCGUAAGGAAGACCAGUGGCGAAAGCGAAUCUCUGGGCAGCAGCCGACGCUGAGGCACGAAGGCCAGGGGAGCAAACGGG
Molecule: ribosomal RNA, 253 nt
Filed under: uncultured bacterium
Lineage: Bacteria
Description: partial 16S ribosomal RNA
Rfam family: Bacterial small subunit ribosomal RNA
Source: RNAcentral